UAUUGGAUUCUUCAAAACAGUAGAAGGGACAUAUUUUCGUCACUACAUCUGUUUUAAACAUAUAGCUUAUUCAAGGCCGAAGAUUGUAAGCGUGAUAUAAUAAUAAAAUUUUAAAUUAAAUCAACAACAUCUCAGAUAUUGUAAGACAUCGUAAACAAUUAUUUUAUUCUUAACAUUUACAAUUGUCUUAAAAAUUUUACUAUAUUAAACACACAGUUUGAAUUAUUUCACCGAAAUGAAACUAUAGAAUUUAUAUGUAGCAUAUAAUUCAAGUAAGUUGAUUGAUUGAUGUAACGCGAAUCAGUUCGUUAAGUACCAUAAAUGUAGUUGCUGCGAUUAUUGGUGAACGCAUGAGAUAAAUUCACGGAGCUAAAAAUGAUCGAUAAAAAAGUGAAUCGUAAUCUGAUUCAUAUUUCAUAAAAGGAUGAAAAUGUGAUUCACAUUAAAAAAAAUAAAAAAAAAAUAUUGCUUUUA
Long non-coding RNA from Apis cerana (Asiatic honeybee), 474 nucleotides. RefSeq lists it as uncharacterized. NCBI's taxonomy places the organism in Eukaryota, Metazoa, Arthropoda, Insecta, Hymenoptera, Apidae. The record is from RefSeq and is a predicted model, not a curated record.